This 450-nucleotide ribosomal RNA is filed under the name Micrococcus luteus. RNAcentral's name for it is "bacterial SSU rRNA". It matches the Rfam family "Bacterial small subunit ribosomal RNA", at positions 23 to 486 of the family's 1533-position model. Lineage: Bacteria; Bacillati; Actinomycetota; Actinomycetes; Micrococcales; Micrococcaceae. The record is from RNAcentral.
CUCAGGAUGAACGCUGGCGGCGUGCUUAACACAUGCAAGUCGAACGAUGAAGCCCAGCUUGCUGGGUGGAUUAGUGGCGAACGGGUGAGUAACACGUGAGUAACCUGCCCUUAACUCUGGGAUAAGCCUGGGAAACUGGGUCUAAUACCGGAUAGGAGCGUCCACCGCAUGGUGGGUGUUGGAAAGAUUUAUCGGUUUUGGAUGGACUCGCGGCCUAUCAGCUUGUUGGUGAGGUAAUGGCUCACCAAGGCGACGACGGGUAGCCGGCCUGAGAGGGUGACCGGCCACACUGGGACUGAGACACGGCCCAGACUCCUACGGGAGGCAGCAGUGGGGAAUAUUGCACAAUGGGCGCAAGCCUGAUGCAGCGACGCCGCGUGAGGGAUGACGGCCUUCGGGUUGUAAACCUCUUUCAGUAGGGAAGAAGCGAAAGUGACGGUACCUGCAGAA